RNAcentral lists this unclassified non-coding RNA (218 nucleotides) under rhizosphere metagenome. Its description in RNAcentral is "partial ribosomal RNA internal transcribed spacer region". The record is from RNAcentral.
GUAGGUGAACCUGCGGAAGGAUCAUUAAAGAGACGUUGCCCUUCGGGGUCGACCUCCCACCCUAUGUUUAUCAUACCUCUGUUGCUUUGGCAGGCCCGUCUUCGGACCACCGGCUCCGGCCGGUCCGUGCCUGCCAGAGGACCUAAAACUCCGUUUGUUAAUGCAGUCUGAGUACUAUGUAAUAGUUAAAACUUUCAACAACGGAUCUCUUGGUUCUG